UCCCCGUUGAACGAGGCAGUCUCCCGUGAAAUACAACACAGGAUGAGGGUUUCGCUCGUUUGCGGACUUAACCGUACAUCUCACGACACGAGCUGACGACGGCCGUGCAUCACCUGUCGUCUGGCUCCCCGAAGGGCACCCCCGCAUUUCUGCAGGGUUCCAGAGAUGUCAAGUCUUGGUAAGGUUCCUCGCUUGGUGUCGAAUUAAACCACAUGCUCCACCGCUUGUGCGAGCCCCCGUCAAUUCCUUUGAGUUUUAGCCUUGCGGCCGUACUUCCCAGGCGGCUGACUUCACGCGUUAGCUUCGGUACCCAAAGGGUAGAUACUCCGAAUACCUAGUCAGCAACGUUUACGGCGUGGACUAC
RNAcentral lists this unclassified non-coding RNA (364 nucleotides) under uncultured bacterium. RNAcentral's name for it is "contains 16S-23S intergenic spacer region". The record is from RNAcentral.